RNAcentral lists this long non-coding RNA (9955 nucleotides) under Solanum lycopersicum (tomato). The record is from RNAcentral. Lineage: Eukaryota; Viridiplantae; Streptophyta; Magnoliopsida; Solanales; Solanaceae.
AUACAACAGAUAGAGUCUCGAAAUUCAUUGUAUCCUCGACGAAGAACUUCAACUCUGCAGCUCUCUUUGCGCUGCCGAACCUAACUACAGGAGCUCUAGUCAUCCCAUCUCUAAACAAAACACUGGUAGCGCCACCGGAAACAUAAAUGGCUUUACAACCCCUGUUAGUACUAGCAACUAAACAUCCUUCUGUGGUUGCCAUUGGCACAGAAAACUCAUUCCCAUUAAGCAGCAAAGGUCCAGCUAUUCCCACUGGUAUUUGAAUAUACCCAAUUGGCAUCUCACAACACUGUCCAAGAAUUGAUUCAUAAUCAAAUCCAUCUAAUGGUAACCCAUCCAAUGACUUCCCUGAACUCCUCUGUAACGCCUCUUUUCGAAUAAAAGCAGCUCUUUUACAGUCACCCAACUUAGAUUCCAAUGAAUAUGAUGGUAUUCUCCCUUCCACCACCGAUUUGAUAAUCACCUCAUCGUCCUCUAACGAAAAUGGUGUGAUUAUCUGAGCAUCUUUUUCAUCAACAGGUACAGAUUUCAUUGGGAUAUUUCGUCGAACAGGUGGUGAUGUAACAGUUGUAUCAAUAAAUUGUUCUGGGGUUUCAUCUUCAACGUCCCAAGAAUCAUUAUUUCCUUUAGAAACGAAAGAUUGAACAAACCCAAUACCAAAGAACCCCAACAGAUAAAUAACUGAAGCGAUCAACGAAAAGAUAGCAACUAAUUCAGAAAAGUUGAGCACGUGGAGUGGAAUUCCAUUACGGAUCUUCUCACGCCAUCUGUGUAGAAGAAAAUACAUGACAGAGAAAAACAUGGUGAAGAACAAACCAUUUGUAAGAUACAACGGUAAUGGAAGAGCAUCUGAAGCUUUAACAGAGGAAUCUUGAUUAUGGGGUCUGAGAGGUUCUCCGGAGGAAAUGUGUUUGGAAGCGUCAAGGGGUUUUACAGCUCGCCGGCGAACGUCCAUCGUGAAAAUUUUCCGGUCGCCGGAAUUUACAGAGAAGAAAUGGAGAAAUGUGAGGAAGUAUUGUGAGUGUUGAAGCUGUUGUAUCGGAAAUGCAUUUAUAGCCCAAAAAAACAUCGGCUGGAGUUCUUGACUUUUAUGGCCACACUUUAAAUUAAAAUUUUUACUUUUUUUUUUAGAAAAAAAAAUAAUUUUGUCUAUUGGUAAAAAAAAAAAUAUUUUUUUCAUAAAUUACGUUUGCCUAUCAAUUUUGGCGUCAACAAUUUAGUUCAUUAGGUCUUUUAGUUUUGUUUGUGAUUUAUCAUAUAUUGAAUCUAUUUAUCUAUAAUAAUUCUCACAUCGGCGUUACCUCAUUCUGACAAAUUAGUAAAUUUUUUUUUUCUUUUUCUUCUUCAUUUUACUGCUUAAUGUUUAUUAUCGUUAAGGUUAUUUAUAGCUUUAUUAGUUUACAGAAUGUCUUUUUUUAUACAACCGAUGAUCUUUACUUAUAUUUAACUACUUUUAAGCUAAUUACUUUCAAUUGUAACCUUAGUGAUGAUUCCUUCUAUAUUUACAUUCACCUUCACUACCUACAUAUGUUAUUAUACUUUCAAUUAAUUGCAUGACGUUGAAUUUAUGGCUUCUUUGUUAAUUCUCUCUUUUCUUUUAUUGUAUAUGUGAUAUCAUUCGAGUUCGCUAUGAACUCUCGCCUUCCCUCUGCAUUUCGAGAGAGAACUAUCAAGGCUCGAAAUUCCUUAUCAAGUCAAUCUGUCACCCAAACCUACGAAUGGAUGUCAAAAUGUUUAGAAUUUGAAGAAUUCAAAACAAGUUGGAAGAGUUGAAAAACUUGGGGCAAUUAACCCAAGUUUAUUUUUAAAUUAUCGCAUUGUAUUUAUUUUGGGCAUAAGCCCUUGUUGCUUUUCUAUAUUCUCUAUUUUUUUAUUAUCAUUUAGUCUAGCACAGGUACGAAAGAAAGUCAAAUGGGUCAAAAACCCAAAAUAGGUGGGUCCAAAAUUCUGAUCAAGGCGAACAGAAAAUCAAGAUUUGGACCCAAAUCUCUCUCCCUCUUUAUAUGUUUUUCAAUUAUUUGUUGUUUUGUUUGUCGCUAGUUUAAAGUUAGAGUAAUCCGUAUCCCCACAAAACGCCACUUUAGUUUUAACGAUUCGAUCAAAUAAAGUAAAUGGCUUAAAAGAUUUUACAAAUUAAAACUCAUUUAGAAAAAUAAUUUUUCACUUUCAAAACAAUCUUAAUGAUUUUUGACAUUCAUUUUCAAACAACUCCAAGAAAUAUCUGAUCACAAUUUUAAAUUUUAGCCAAGUUAAGUUAGUUAUCGAUAACCGCAAGUUAGCGGAUAUUUUAGGGGCCUAACACAUUCCUAAAAUAUUAAUGUGAAUCCAGGACUCCCCUAAAAAAUGUUUUCAAAUGAUUUUAUCUGUAUAAGUCUUUUAGAAACGUUAUUUUUCUUGAUUUUUCUCAAUAAUUAAGUGGCGACUCUAAAAGUAAAAAAUUUUCAAAACAAAUAAUAUUUUUCGAUAAAACAGAAAUGGCGACUCUGCUGGGUAGAUUGGAGGAUUCUAACUUUAAAAACUAACUUUAUUUGGCUGUUUGUAAUAUUUGUUUAUUUAUUUACUUUACCUUAUUGUUUAAUUGUUGCAUUUUCAUGACAUUUUUCCGUCAAAGGACAAAUAAAUGCAUUAGGAAAACGAAAGUUAUGUGGCUUUCCACGGCUUUCUUUAGAAAUACACAAAAAAAUUCAUUUAGAAGUAUCAAACAAAUAGUUGGAAUGCGGUCAUCCGACAUUGUUUGGUAGCUUCACCCCGAGGUUUGUCCGACUCGGGUAACCGUCAACUUGAAAUCUAUUCUAGUAAGACUAAGCUAGAACGAAAUCAAAACCAAAAAUUAAGCAUUAGCCUAAGAUGACUUAAUAUCCAAGCUGUAUUAAGUCUAUUUAGUAGAAACCCACCAAAAUUGUAUCUAAGGUCUCCGACCUAACGACACAUCAUUUUAUCUAACAUUUGAAUUAUGUACGUGUGAAAAGCAAUUUGGGGUGGGUAAACCUAACUAGUUUCUAUUUUGUUGAUAUGGAUCGUUUCCCAAAGUUUGACGUGGUCAUAGCAGCACCACCUCAACUCACAAUGUGGUAUAAUAAUCUCGAUGUAAAUCAUAAAAAAACUCUCAACAAAUACGUGGAUGCAUUGACAGAAUUGAUCAACAUGAACGGUUGAUCAGAAUUAGUUGAGGUCCUCACGGGAUAUUGGGUGGGAUAGCCAACGAAUGGUGUUCUAAUUUGGAACCGUUGAAAUUACCCUGACUUUGGAGGAGAUCAGAGACUGCAUAGACACAGUAAGUACUGGGAUAGAAAGAAAGGCAAGGAAACAAGAAGACAUUGUCAUCCCUAAUAAACCUUUUAUAGAAGAUAUUGCGGACCGACUCGAAUCGGAGAAAGACUUUGUCUACUAGUGCCAAGAAUCCCACAUAGCAUUCAGAGAUCUUUAUAUCACAUUUGACAUGCGAGCUUCUACGCCAUUUAUAACCGAGAGUUCAAGGUCUCUUACAGAGAAUGGAACAAAAUUUGUCCUCUAACAUUUGUUGUAGCGUUGUUAGGAACGAUGGUCUUUCCGCAUGGCCCAAGUCUGAGUUUCAAUACUCGAGUUAUAACACUCACGCACACUCUAUUCAAAGGGAACGAGAACCGAGGAAUAACAAAAUACUACCCUAUAGCUCUGGUCAUCCUGUCCGACAUGUAUGGAGCCUUGGAAAAGUGUAAUGAGGGACAUCGAAUGCAUCCUUUCGAGUCUUGCAACAGUUCGGGAGGAGACAAACUGUACCCAAGAAGGCGUACUAUGGAGCUUAUGUAUAUGAUAUUAGAGAUGAUAGAGUGCACGACACGUCUGAAAUGUUCAGGGAAUGGAAAAGUGCCAAGCGAAUGGAUAAAACUACCAUCUCCCCAGACUGAUCCAAAGCUGGAUACGAUGAGGGUUACAAAAAAUGGUUGAAAAAAGACAUACAAAGUAUGUCCUCCCCAACCCCACGCAGCUUUUGCAGCAUUACAGACAAAGAAGCCAAGGCAGUGGCUGAGCUACAACAGGUAAAAAAGAGGCCAAGAAGUGUGCGCUAAGUUUGUCGAGAACCAAGAUACUCUUGAGAAGGCGACUCAAGAGGUGGAAAGACUAAGGCGCGGUUAUGAUGAUUUCGAUACCUGGGUUAAGCAGAAAAUUGAGAGGAUGCAAUACGAAAGCUUGGUAGACAAAGGACGCCUGGGUGGAGGAUUCUUGCUGAUGCUAAGUUAUAUGUUUCAGCAAUACAAAACUCAGGGGGACGGCGACGGAGCGGGACCAUCAGGCACAGCAUAGAGAAUUUUUGAAUUUCUAAGGAAGAAGAUGAAUAAUCCCCCAAGGGAGGAAGAAAAGAAGAGAGAGAAGAGAGGAAGGAAGAUGAAAAGAUUUUUUUCUUUUAAAUGAUUUGGUUUGAGUUAUAAAAGUGUGUUUUUUUGUAUUUUAUAAAAGAUUAGAAAGUUUUGAAAAUGUUAAUUUGAUCUCAUAAUUAGUUAAUUACAUUUUAAAGAGGAUUUGACCAGCUCUUGGUCAAUCUGUCAUCAAAAACAAAAAUGAGACUUAUUUGAUACCUUUCCUUUAAUUUUCUCGAAAAAAUGUGCAUGCAUUUGAUUAUUUAUGCAUUUUAUUUAUAUAUUGUUUGGUUUGUAAAUAGAAAAAAAAUUAUGCAUAUAUUAUUUUCGUUCCUCCCUUGAUUCUUCUCUCAUAAGAUAUUUAUCUCUAUACCAUAUUUGUUCAUGAUUUGAGGUUCGCUUAUGGCGUAUUUCUCAAAUUAGAAUAUUUGAUUUUGAUCUCUCUAUGUAUAUUUCAUAAAUUUAUAAAAUAUUUGACAUUUCAAUCUCUUUAUGAAAUUACAAUUAAUAUCUAUUCCAUAAUUAUAGUAAAUUUUCUCUACAUUGUUUAUAUUCAUCAUAUAUAUUAUCAAUAAUAUAAUAUAACACACUAUUACUUUCAUGUAAUAUAAUACUAUUAUAGUUUUCAUAAUAUGCUUAUCUAAAUAAUUUUAGAAUAUGUAUUUGGCUAUAUUCAAUGUACAUAAUUAUAAUAAUAAUAAUAACAAUAAUAAUAAUAAUAAUAAUAAUAACAAUGCACAUUAAAUUUAGAUACACAUAAUAUUUGAGUUGAGUUCAAGUAACAAUAUCCUAAUUUAUUUAGGAGGUUAAAAUAAUUCUGAUCAUAGUAGAAUAUUGAAUGAUCAAACACGCCCCCACCGUCUAAUCAAUACUAUUUUGAGGAUAUCAAACCUUUACAAGAUAAGGGGAAAAAGUAGCUGGGUUGUAUGUGUUCCAAUCAACCUGUUCUGUAGGACCAAAUUUUGGAAUAUUUGGACCACUCUCAAUUAUGAUGACAUGUUGUAGGGUUACAAUCUUAGCAUUUUGAAGCAAUUGUCCAAUAUAUUACUAUAUUAUAUUAAUAUUAGAAAGUACCAAACUUAUCACAAUAGGUGACAUUUGAAUGAAAGUGAUUUUCAAAGGCAAAGGAAGUUUCCCUACAAAAGAAAAGUUUGUUCAAAUAAUGACUCUAAUUUAAUCGAGAUAAAAUCACUAAAUAAUUUUUUGUACCAUAAUAAUAAUAUUUAUUCAAUAAUUUUUUGUUCGAAACGAAAAAUGGAUAAACAUGCACUUGUACUCGAAAGUAAUAAAAAAGUAACAAAAAAAUACAUAAUGAAUACAAAUGGAAGUUGAUGAAGAGGAAAUGAAACAUCCUGGUAUAAUCGUGAUGUAGGAUGCUUUGUGGAUCGGACUUUUUCCUUUUUUUUAAAUACCAAUAUGGACCACAAUAUAAUGAUCAGCCAAUAUAUAUAUUUUUCCAACAAUUAUUUUUUUAUUUUGGCUAGUGCUACUAUAAUCUCCUGUCAUAGUUGUCCCAUGGAAAAGAAAAUUUUCUUCCCAUCUUAAUUGGAAACUUUAAUCCAAUAUUAUACACUAAUAAAAAGUAAGUGUGUCCAACAUGCUAGACUAAACUUGUUUGAUACAAGCAGUACAUGUAUACUGUAUUGGAACUAUUAAGAUCGUUUGUUCAAAAGUUACUCAUUAGUCAAUGAUAUCUAGUAACACCUUUCGUCUUUUUUUUUUUUUCUGACUUAUAGUUGCUAAAGACAUUGAGAAAAGUCUACCAAAUUGUCCCACAUCGCCAAUAUAUGAAACAUUUUUGUGUUUAUAUGAAUUGAUAACUUGGUGUAAGAAUGUGUUCGUAGAAAGGAGAGAUGGUUGGCAUCUCCCCCGACAGGGACGGGAACAGCCUUCGGGCUUUACCUGUUAUCAGACACAUCCGGUUAAGGCUACCCACUUUGGUGGAUCUUACCCAAUUUUUUGGUGUUAGAAACUAAUUAUAUCAUAUCAUCACUCGUUUAACGUUUUGGUAUAUCGCUAAUUACAUAUUCAAUGUAUGCUUCGAGAUGUAUUUUAAUAAAUAAAUGACGAUAAUUAAGAUAAAAAGUACUUGUUAACUAUCUAUUUUAAAUGUUUCAAAUAAUUAACACCGAUUUAGUAGAGUCAUAAAUGUGAAUUUUAAAUUAUAUGGUGAAUGAACUGAAUGAUUCAUAUAAGUAAUGACGAAAUCAAAAUUUAUGUCAGAAAAUUCAAGUAUAAGAAAAUAAUCACGAGAAUAAGAAACUAAAACAAUUAUAUAUUUAUACACACAUUCAAUCCUAGAUGAUUUUGUCAAACUCAUGCAUGGCAGCACGUUUAAGGUAGUCUUAUAAAAAUUAUGAUUUUCUGUAUUUAAUUUAUUUAAUUGACAUCGAUUUAUUAAAAAAAUUAUAUUAUACAUACAAAUAAUAUAUUUAAUUACAUAAAUUAAAUAUAGUCGAUUUUCAAUACGAUAAUUGUCAAAUAAUGGGGUACAUUUCAAUAAUGAAUUUUAAGUAAAUAUUAGCAUUUUUCAAGUAUCUGACAAGAGAAAGUAUUUUUAUUUAAAAAGAUAAAAACACUACGUGCAAAGCAAAACAAUACCAAUAUUGAGAUGCCAUUUUAAUUUUUGGCCCUAAAUUACAAAGUAAUAGUACACAUAUUGAAACUUAAUAAUACCAACUACUUUAUCCCCACACAUCUUUUUUUUUGAAAAAAUAUUUGCAUAUAUUAAUACAUACAACAUAGCAUACAGAUCAUCUUGUCUCCAAUAAUAUGAAAAUAUUAAUCCUUAUUCAAAGAUGAUGAUGAUUAUAUAUAUAUUUCAAGAAAAUCUGUACAAUUUUGAAGCAUUAGCUGUGUUGUUGCAUAUUACUUUGUGACAUCUUUGCAUGAUCUAUUGUAUUUCAUGUGGCUCUUAACAAGUUGCCCAGCUGAGAUAGCUGACAUGAGGGAUAGCUCACCCGCGAGAACCGAACCUGCUACUAUUGUGGCCAAAAGCCUUGCAUUUGACCCUGGUGCCUCUCUGUUGGCACCUUUCACUCCUAAUAAGUUCAAGCAAGCUGAUUGCGAUGCUAGUUGAGUUCCUCCUCCUACUGUACCCACCUGAUAAAUCACAACGACAUGCAUAAUAAGUAUCACGAAGAAACUCAUGCUUCCAUGACCUAGUUUUAGUAGUACCAACAACAACAACGACAUACCUAGUGUAGAGUGUACACAAACUUAGGCGUAGAGAGGUUGUUUUCGAUAAAGGCAUAAAGGACUCGUAUAGACAGCUAUAACUUCCUUGGGGUUUGACGCAUAGUUGAUUUAAAACUCCAUUAAAUGAUAUCGUUAAAACCGUCACAUGUAAAAGUUUGGGGUGGAAAGACGGUGUACCAAGAAUAUAACGAUAAGUAGCAAUAUGUUUAAUGCGUACCUCAAUUGAAGGCAUGGUGACGGAUAUAUGGAGGUCCUUGCCAUCAUUUACAGCCUCCAUCAUAGUGAUGCAGUGCGAGCUUUCAAUAUUUUGAGCCGGGUCUUGGCCAGUGGCUAAAUAUACAGCUGAGACAAUAUUGCUGGCAUGGGCAUUGAAGCCACCAAGUGCACCAGCCAUGGCAGAGCCAGUGAGGUUUUUAAGCAUGUUCAGCUCAACUAGAGCAGCAACCUCAGUUUUCAGAACUUUCUUCACCACCUCUUCCUUGAUGAUUGCCUCACAAACUACCGACUUUCCUCUCCCCUCAAUCCAAUUAACUGCUGCUGGUUUCUUGUCCGAGCAAUAGUUCCCUGUCAUAGUUCAACAAUUCCAAUUAAUAAGUGUCUAUAGAUCAUGGGAAUAAAAAGAAGAAAAAAAACUAGGUGUGCAGUAGUUGAGGCUUGUUGUUACAUUACAUUGGCAUUAGGUAGUAUGUAAAUCAAGUAUACAUGAAAAACCAAUUGACGCAGGGUAUCAAAAAGGAUUUUUCUUUUUAGAAAAAGGUAGGUGGAGUACCAGAUAUGCCGAUGAUGUCCAUGUCGGGGUACUCAUUCUGAAGGUAAUCAAGAACGUUUUGUACACCUUUGGAAACCAUGUUCAUUCCCAUCGCGUCACCAGUGCUACAGCUAAACCUCAUGUAUAGAUUCUUUCCAGCUAUUGCACAUUGAAUGUUCUGUAAUCUGGCAAAUCUGCUUGAUCUGUAAAGUCCAAAUCAAAAACAAAGUUAUACAACUAGUAUUGGAUGUCGAAUGAUGACAGGCUGAUUCCAAAAAUCAUAGAUUUAUCCAAGGAAACGAAAAUGACAGAUAUUGAAGUAACAGACAAAUCUAAUAAAAUCAUUAAGAAACAAAAAAUGGCUCCAUUCACUGAACACAUCAACAUCAAUCGAUCUUCAAAAGGAAAACGCAUUAAGAAAAGAUGUCCGAGAUAUUAGUCAACAAUAGAAGAAAGAAGGGAAGAUUCAGAUGUUCUCAUCUACCAUACUGUUUGAACACUUCCGUGGUAACUUUCAUCAACUACAAAGCAAAAUACUACUCUCUUUCAAUUCGUUUGCUUGAUUUUGACUAACACGAGUUUAAGAGAGAGAAAAAGAACUUAUAAAUCACGUGAACUAAAGAAAUGUCGAAUGUACCAAAAUGCCCUUAGAAUUAACGAGUUGCCAAAAAAUGAAAGAGCCGUUACAGACUAAAUAGGAAAGCAAGACAAACAAAUUGAAAUGUAGGGAGUAUAUACAUUUUACUUUAUACCAUUUUGAAGAUCAACUCCUGGACUUGAAUAUGAUGAUAUUUCUAUACUUUUAACCAUAAUUUAAUACUUUUUCAUAACUAUUAUGAUAUAUAAGUCAAAUUUAAGGGAUUACUAUGAUUCUAUUAGCUUCAUAGCAAAAGAUAAAUUCAGUAAAAUGAGUAUAAUCAUAUUAAAAAUCAAAACUUGAACACGAAGAAGAACGAGAACACUCACUUAUUGAAAACAACAGAUAGAGUCUCGAAAUUCAUUGUAUCCUCGACGAAGAACUUCAACUCCGCAGCUCUCUUUGCGCUGCCGAACCUAACUACAGGAGCUCUAGUCAUCCCAUCUCUAAACAAAACACUCGUAGCGCCACCGGAAACAUAAAUGGCUUUACAACCCCUGUUAGUACUAGCAACUAAACAUCCUUCUGUGGUUGCCAUUGGUACAGAAAAUUCAUUCCCAUUAAGCAGCAAAGGUCCAGCUAUUCCCACUGGUAUUUGAAUAUACCCAAUUGGCAUCUCACAACACUGUCCAAGAAUUGAUUCAUAAUCAAAUCCAUCUAAUGGUAACCCAUCCAAUGACUUCCCUGAAGUCCUCUGUAACGCCUCUUUUCGAAUAAAAGCAGCUCUUUUACAGUCACCCAACUUAGAUUCCAAUGAAUAUGAUGGUAUUCUCCCUUCCACCACCGAUUUGAUAACCACCUCAUCAUCCUCUCCAGAAAAUGGUGUGAUUAUCUGAGCAGCGUUUUCGUCAACAGGUACAGAUUUCAUUGGGAUAUUUCGUCGAACAGGUGGUGAUGUAACAGUUGCAUCAAUAAAUUGUUCUGGGGUUUCAUCUUCAACGUCCCAAGAAUCAUUAUUUCCUUUAGAAACGAAAGAUUGAACAAACCCAAUACCAAAGAACCCCAACAGAUAAAUAACUGAAGCGAUCAACGAAA